RNAcentral lists this ribosomal RNA (253 nucleotides) under uncultured bacterium. RNAcentral's name for it is "partial 16S ribosomal RNA". It matches the Rfam family "Bacterial small subunit ribosomal RNA", at positions 524 to 776 of the family's 1533-position model. The record is from RNAcentral.
UACGUAGGGGGCUAGCGUCGUCCGGAAUCAUUGGGCGUAAAGCGCGCGUAGGCGGCCCUGUAAGUCCGUUGUGAAAGUCAAAGGCUCAACCUUUGAAAGCCGAUGGAUACUGCAGGGCUAGAGUCCGGAAGAGGCGAGUGGAAUUCCUGGUGUAGCGGUGGAAUGCGCAGAUAUCAGGAGGAACACCAAUAGCGAAGGCAGCUCGCUGGGACGGUACUGACGCUAAGGCGCGAAAGCGUGGGGAGCGAACAGG